Molecule: ribosomal RNA, 491 nt
Filed under: uncultured bacterium
Lineage: Bacteria
Description: partial 16S ribosomal RNA
Rfam family: Bacterial small subunit ribosomal RNA
Source: RNAcentral
GUGAACGCUGGCGGUAGGCCUAACACCUGCCAGUCGCACGGCAGCACAGUAAGAGCUUGCUCUUACGGGUGGCGAGUGGCGGACGGGUGAGGAAUACAUCGGAAUCUACUUUUUCGUGGGGGAUAACGUAGGGAAACUUACGCUAAUACCGCAUACGACCUACGGGUGAAAGCAGGGGAUCUUCGGACCUUGCGCGAUUGAAUGAGCCGAUGUCGGAUUAGCUAGUUGGCGGGGUAAAGGCCCACCAAGGCGACGAUCCGUAGCUGGUCUGAGAGGAUGAUCAGCCACACUGGAACUGAGACACGGUCCAGACUCCUACGGGAGGCAGCAGUGGGGAAUAUUGGACAAUGGGCGCAAGCCUGAUCCAGCCAUACCGCGUGGGUGAAGAAGGCCUUCGGGUUGUAAAGCCCUUUUGUUGGGAAAGAAAAGCAGCAGGUUAAUACCCCGCUGUUCCGACGGUACCCAAAGAAUAAGCACCGGCUAACUUCGUG